CACAAUAAAAUAUGAAGGCUGUACGCGGCUGUGCUCUCGGGCCAGUUUUGCGGAGGCUGAAUUAUUUAUUACCCUUGUCUUUUGCGCACUUGUUGUUUCCUGGGCGGGUUCGCCCGCCACCAGGACCACAUCAUAAACCUUUUUUAUGCAGUUGCAAUCAGCGUCAGUAUAACAAAUGUAAAUCAUUUACAACUUUCAACAACGGAUCUCUUGGUUCUGGCAUCGAUGAAGAACGCAGCGAAAUGCGAUACGUAGUGUGAAUUGCAGAAUUCAGUGAAUCAUCGAAUCUUUGAACGCACAUUGCGCCCUUUGGUAUUCCAAAGGGCAUGCCUGUUCGAGCGUCAUUUGUACCCUCAAGCUUUGCUUGGUGUUGGGCGUUUUUUGUCUUUGGUUGCCAAAGACUCGCCUUAAAAGGAUUGGCAGCCGGCCUACUGGUUUCGCAGCGCAGCACAUUUUUGCGCUUGCAAUCAGCAAAAGAGGACGGCAAUCCAUCAAGACUCCUUCUCACGUUUGACCUCGGAUCAG
RNAcentral lists this ribosomal RNA (525 nucleotides) under Curvularia lunata. Its description in RNAcentral is "eukaryotic LSU rRNA". The stretch from base 191 to 344 matches the Rfam family "5.8S ribosomal RNA". The record is from RNAcentral. Lineage: Eukaryota; Fungi; Ascomycota; Dothideomycetes; Pleosporales; Pleosporaceae.